Molecule: small nucleolar RNA, 143 nt
Organism: Rattus norvegicus (Norway rat)
Lineage: Eukaryota; Metazoa; Chordata; Mammalia; Rodentia; Muridae
Product: small nucleolar RNA SNORA48
Source: Ensembl
ACUCCCUGGCAAUGGGCAGUGGGCACCUGGUUGGUGGUGUUGUUCUUACAUCAGUCAGGGGCAGAGCAGAUGGCCGGCCUUGGUUCAUCCUAGCUUGAUGCCUGGCUUGGUGGCCAAAGAUGUUUCAUGCCUAGGGCACAUGC